GGUCGCGUAGCCCAACCUGGCAGAGGCACGGCGUCGAGAGCGCCGCGAGUGCUGGUUCGAAUCCAGCCGCGACUACUA
RNAcentral lists this transfer RNA (78 nucleotides) under Chthoniobacter flavus Ellin428. RNAcentral describes it as "tRNA-OTHER". It matches the Rfam family "tRNA". From Rfam's summary of the family: Transfer RNA (tRNA) molecules are approximately 80 nucleotides in length. Their secondary structure includes four short double-helical elements and three loops (D, anti-codon, and T loops). Lineage: Bacteria; Pseudomonadati; Verrucomicrobiota; Spartobacteria; Chthoniobacterales; Chthoniobacteraceae. The record is from RNAcentral.